This 251-nucleotide ribosomal RNA is filed under the name uncultured bacterium. RNAcentral's name for it is "partial 16S ribosomal RNA". It matches the Rfam family "Bacterial small subunit ribosomal RNA", at positions 524 to 773 of the family's 1533-position model. The record is from RNAcentral.
UACGUAGGGUGCAAGCGUUAAUCGGAAUUACUGGGCGUAAAGCGUGCGCAGGCGGUUGUGCAAGACAGAUGUGAAAUCCCCGGGCUUAACCUGGGAACUGCAUUUGUGACUGCACGGCUAGAGUGUGUCAGAGGGGGGUAGAAUUCCACGUGUAGCAGUGAAAUGCGUAGAUAUCUGGAGGAAUACCGGUGGCGAAGGCGGCAUCCUGGACCAUUUACUGACGCUGAGGCGCGAAAGCUAGGGGAGCAAAC